AAGGAUCAUUACUGAAUAAAACUCGGUGGGCUUGAUGCUGGCU
This 43-nucleotide ribosomal RNA is filed under the name Cyclocybe aegerita. Its description in RNAcentral is "partial 18S ribosomal RNA". The record is from RNAcentral. Lineage: Eukaryota; Fungi; Basidiomycota; Agaricomycetes; Agaricales; Hemipholiotaceae.